UCAUUCUUCCAGUAGACAGCGUACGAAGAUGGUCGGCUCAGACAAGACGGAUUCUGAUCACAGAGAUGAAACAUCAUGGACUUCUCAGUCUCCAGACAGACCAAGUCAGCUCAGCUUUCCUUCCGGUCUCUAUUGCAGAAAGGACGGUUCCGUACUGCUUGGAUUGCGUGUGUUCGCCAGCAAAGAACAGCGGGGGUUCAGCCUCUCCAAGAGUACCCCAGUCUCCUGCCUUUAUUCCUAUGUGAUAACAACACAUGGCAGACAAAAACUGAUGAAACAGUGACACCUAAACAACACACAGGUGUUAUAAAUUCUUACCUAAAGCUGGGAAAGAAUACGAGCCCUUGGAGAAUGGGUCACUCUUCCACUUCGUGCGGGACGUAUUCACAACACUGACCAAAUCCACGACCGGGCCAAAGGCCGUGCGCAAGCGACGUAAGGCUGUAAAUAAAUUAGAAAUGGACUUAUGUGAAAUUAGAUUGCGAGACAUUUUGAAUCGUUUUGUGAGAUGAGGCUGUGAGGGCAACGCAUAUAAUUGUAACAUUUGAUUCAAGACAAGAUAAUAUAAACAGUGUUGACCAUCAUGACACUGUGCCUGCUGCAUUUUUAAAGCAGUUCAGAAAUGAACUCUAUUGUUUUAAUGUGACCCUUUUCACGCAUAUUAAUACUUAUAAGGAAAGUGUAUACCAUGUUUCAGAGUAAAAUGUUAUAUGAUUUCCCAAGUAUAUAAAUUUGUAUGUAUAUUAAUAUACCCAUGAAAUUGUGUCUUACAUCAUAAUGCUGUCCGCUGUCGUGUAGGAGAAUGGCGUAUAACACCAGU
Liolophura sinensis is the source of this 820-nucleotide long non-coding RNA. RefSeq lists it as uncharacterized. The transcript has 3 exons. The record is from RefSeq and is a predicted model, not a curated record. NCBI's taxonomy places the organism in Eukaryota, Metazoa, Mollusca, Polyplacophora, Chitonida, Chitonidae.